GCAAGUGCUCAAAGUUCAUGCAGAUAAUAGAGAAGCUUCAUCAACUGUUUGUGCAUGGCUUCUUCCUUUGAUAGGACAUAUUACGAGUGAAUAUUCACAUCUCACAACUUCCUCAAAGGGUAAGGAUAUUCAACUACUGCCAGCAGCUCACAUGUACUCAAUUUGGGUGGAAACGUGGAGCAGAAAACUUUACUAUGGUGAGAUAAAAAGAGACCAGCUACCUCCUAAAACCUUGGCUAUUGGUAAGGAAGGAAUUCAACCAUGAUUAAAGUGACUUUCAACUUGUAGUAACUAGUUUGUAGACUUUCUGCUAAAUUUUACUAUUUGCUAAUAAAUAGAAACUUCUAUAAUAAAGACAGUGACA
This 364-nucleotide long non-coding RNA is filed under the name Fukomys damarensis (Damara mole-rat). RNAcentral describes it as "lncRNA (ENSFDAG00000025201.1)". The record is from RNAcentral. Lineage: Eukaryota; Metazoa; Chordata; Mammalia; Rodentia; Bathyergidae.